UAUACGGGCCGCAGCAGGCGCGAAAACUUCGCAAUAAGCGAAAGCUUGACGGGGCUAUCCCGAGUGCCGUCUGCUGAAGAUGGCUUUUWCCUMGUGUAGAUAGCUGGGAGAAUAAGGGGAGGGCAAGUCUGGUGUCAGCCGCCGCGGUAAUACCAGCUCUCCGAGUGGUGGGGAUGAUUAUUGGGCCUAAAGCAUCCGUAGCCGGCUGGACAAGUCCCCUGUUAAAUCCAACGAUCCAAUCGUUGGUCUGCGGGGGAUACUGUCCGGCUAGGGGGCGGGAGAGGCCGGCGGUAUUUCCGGGGUAGGGGUGAAAUCCUAUAAUCCCGGGAGGACCACCAGUGGCGAAGGCUGUCGGCUAGAACGCGCCCGACGGUGAGGGAUGAAAGCUGGGGGAGCGAACCGGAUUAGAUACCCGGGUAGUCCCAGCUGUAAACGAUGCAGGCUAGGUGUUAGGGCGGCUACGUGCCGCUCUAGUGCCGCAGGGAAGCUG
Molecule: ribosomal RNA, 490 nt
Filed under: uncultured crenarchaeote
Lineage: Archaea; Thermoproteati; Thermoproteota
Description: bacterial SSU rRNA
Rfam family: Archaeal small subunit ribosomal RNA
Source: RNAcentral